UUUCACGUUAAAACGAGUACGUGCGGAGGUACGUUUGGUGAAUUUUAUUGUACCGUAGCACAAGUGGAUUGAAAUUCACGAUAGCGAAACUCGAAAUAAGUUCGACUUUGAAGAUGAGCUUGGAAUUUCCCUGUGGGCGAGCCGCAGGUCAGGGGCGCACGAAAUUUGUCAGGUUAAUGUAGAAAGUUGUAGUUUUCAGAACGACGCUUGAAAACUGAAAUAUUGUACGACAUCUAAAAUGCGUGCUUCCUUAAACUUAAAAUAUAUCUCCUAAGAUUUAAUCUAAC
RNAcentral lists this unclassified non-coding RNA (287 nucleotides) under Bombus terrestris (buff-tailed bumblebee). RNAcentral's name for it is "misc RNA ENSBTSG00005038014.1". Lineage: Eukaryota; Metazoa; Arthropoda; Insecta; Hymenoptera; Apidae. The record is from RNAcentral.